AGAGGAAGGAAGCAUGGUAGUGUGCACGGAGAGCAGAGCACCAGCGGGUCUGCAUGUCUGCUCGCCGUGACGCCUUCGGGCUUUGAUCAUGCGGGCCUGGAUUCGACCCACAUUU
This 115-nucleotide small nucleolar RNA is filed under the name Sorghum bicolor (sorghum). Its description in RNAcentral is "snoRNA snoR100". It matches the Rfam family "Small nucleolar RNA snoR100". The record is from Rfam by way of RNAcentral. Lineage: Eukaryota; Viridiplantae; Streptophyta; Magnoliopsida; Poales; Poaceae.